This 433-nucleotide ribosomal RNA is filed under the name Bacillus pumilus. Its description in RNAcentral is "bacterial SSU rRNA". It matches the Rfam family "Bacterial small subunit ribosomal RNA", at positions 958 to 1392 of the family's 1533-position model. Lineage: Bacteria; Bacillati; Bacillota; Bacilli; Caryophanales; Bacillaceae. The record is from RNAcentral.
AACGCGAAGAACCUUACCAGGUCUUGACAUCCUCUGACAACCCUAGAGAUAGGGCUUUCCCUUCGGGGACAGAGUGACAGGUGGUGCAUGGUUGUCGUCAGCUCGUGUCGUGAGAUGUUGGGUUAAGUCCCGCAACGAGCGCAACCCUUGAUCUUAGUUGCCAGCAUUCAGUUGGGCACUCUAAGGUGACUGCCGGUGACAAACCGGAGGAAGGUGGGGAUGACGUCAAAUCAUCAUGCCCCUUAUGACCUGGGCUACACACGUGCUACAAUGGACAGAACAAAGGGCUGCGAGACCGCAAGGUUUAGCCAAUCCCAUAAAUCUGUUCUCAGUUCGGAUCGCAGUCUGCAACUCGACUGCGUGAAGCUGGAAUCGCUAGUAAUCGCGGAUCAGCAUGCCGCGGUGAAUACGUUCCCGGGUCUUGUACACACCG